UGGCAGCGGAUGCUUGAGAACCACGGGGGUUGGCACUGGCUGGCAAGGGAGGAAGAGGCCGCCGGGACUGCCCCAGCCUGCGGGCAUCUGGUAGAUGAAGCUUGCUUGGGUCAAUCCAUUUCUCCUGGCUGGAAACCCAUGGUCUUCCAUUUGAGAACUAGAUACGAACAGGGUGAGGCAAGAGGGAGAGGGAAGAGUGGGUUUUGGGAUUGGGGCCAGUUUACCCUCACCCUGGAGUCCCUGGAGCAUGGGACCUUUGAUGAAGCCUCCUCCCGAAUCUCUUCCAGGGCAGCAAUGAACUUCAUCAAGUUCCAUGUGAGUAUCCACCCCUACAACAGUUGGCUGCACAGACAAGUUGGGAAGGCUUCAGGGGACAUCCCCUCCCUGCCCUCUGCUGCAGGGCUGUGCCAGCCCUUACCACUUCCACUCCCCCUCGCUUACCCCACCUUUGUUCUCUCCAGCGAACUGUGACUGUCUAAAUGGAGGAACAUGUGUGUCCAACAAGUACUUCUCCAACAUUCACUGGUGCAACUGCCCAAAGAAAUUCGGAGGGCAGCACUGUGAAAUAGAUAAGUCAAAAACCUGCUAUGAGGGGAAUGGUCACUUUUACCGAGGAAAGGCCAGCACUGACACCAUGGGCCGGCCCUGCCUGGCCUGGAACUCUGCCACUGUCCUUCAGCAAACAUACCAUGCCCACAGAUCUGAUGCUCUUCAGCUGGGCCUGGGGAAACAUAAUUACUGCAGGAACCCAGACAACCGGAGGCGACCCUGGUGCUAUGUGCAGGUGGGCCUAAAGCCGCUUGUCCAAGAGUGCAUGGUGCAUGACUGCGCAGAUGGUGAGCAUCACUGACCUGCUGAUGACAGUG
Molecule: long non-coding RNA, 866 nt
Filed under: Pan troglodytes (chimpanzee)
Lineage: Eukaryota; Metazoa; Chordata; Mammalia; Primates; Hominidae
Description: long non-coding RNA NONPTRT001793
Source: RNAcentral